Penaeus chinensis is the source of this 487-nucleotide long non-coding RNA. RefSeq lists it as uncharacterized. Lineage: Eukaryota; Metazoa; Arthropoda; Malacostraca; Decapoda; Penaeidae. The transcript has 3 exons. The record is from RefSeq and is a predicted model, not a curated record.
CACCAGCGGCCGCGGCUGCAGAGCUUUGGGCGGAGCAACGGCUGAUACGCAGGGAAGAUAACGUCGACAGAUUACUUUACAGCCGUUGCAGUUGCUCACCUGACAUUGAGGUGAACCGCAUACGCCUGAGCCAGUGCAGAACUAGGAGCCUCACCUGACCUUGCCCCGGGGGCCACGUCGACACCCGACACCCGAGUCAACAGCGCCUCAUCUAUUGGGACGAUAUCGUAGCUGUGUUUCGUUUGCGACGGAAAUGAAUGCUGGAUUCGUUCGAAACACGAAGAGAGCCUUCAGAAAUAUAGUCUUCACCUAGAAUUCAGUGAUUGCCUUGCAUCCAUCUUGAGAAAAGUGUCAGCUUGGCUGCCUCGUUUUCACCUCGGAUUUCCCAUGUGUCAUUAUGACGUCAUAUACCAUGGACAUAUUUUCUUUCUUGUUUAGCCUAUACUAGGAUUACCCGCGAAAUGAAUAUUCAGGAAUUUAAGAAGAU